AGAUCCACUUAGAAGGUACUGAAAAUAAAAUGUUUUAUUCACAAUGGGGAAUGUAAAGGGUACAUGCAAUGUAAAAAAAAAAUCCCUCCUUUCUGUUGAUUUAUCUGCUAAUGAUUGCUCUGUCACCUCCUGGUCACCCUGGUCACCUCCUUCAGCUUUACCAGGUGAACACCACAUGUUCCUAGGCUAGCCAAGAGAUAUAAUUUCUCAAACAUGUCUUUGGUCUACCCCAGGCCUCCUGGUAGGUCAUGCCAGGUACAUCUCACACAGAGGUAAUGUUUUCAGACAUUGUCCAAACCAUCUCAACUGGCCCUUUUUCAUGUGGGGCAUGAUGAGCAGCUCUACUCUAGGCCUCUCUCAAAGGACCUAUCUCUUCACCUUGUCUCUAAGGGAGGUCCAAGUACCCUUUGGAGGAAGUAGAAACGAAGUAGAAUGUAGAAAAAGCGUAGAAAAAAGUACUUUUAUGAAAGAGUGAGUGGGUGGAUGAGGAAAGUUGUAUAAAGUGCCAGAUCUCAAUGACUUGGGGCCCAUCGGGGUCCCAUCAUUAAUCCAUCUGGGCAAACACAUUUGGGGCCACCAUGGAAACUGAGGACAAAAUUAGCUGGACCCCAGAUGGAUUUCCCAAGUGGGCCCCAAAUAUUGGCCCUGCUACUCCCUAUUUGGGCCCCACAUAUGUGUGUGGGUACAGUCGAGCAUAUGUGGGACAAACAAGUCUGAUUGACGGAGGCUCCACCUUACAACUUAUAGGAAAUAAAGGACCUGUUGAUAACAUCUCAUUGCCAGAUACCACACUACACAUUCAUGGGUUUAAUAUUAGGCAGGAGUUUAUAGUGUUAUGCCUGAUCAGUUUAAAAUAUAUAAGAAAAAUACUCACAUUUCUUCCAAUUUAUGACAUAAAAAGUACACUGUGUCCUGAACCUUUCCAGGACCUGCUGAUUUAACUCUAGAGGGUCUGUGUGGAAACUGCAGCAGGUCUGUGAGUGACCUGAGGCUCUCUGAGUACAGCUCCACCAGUUGUGAGGUGAAAUACAAUGAUGCUGCUGACAGCACAAUCAAAUGCAACAAGAUGAUUGAACACUGUAAUCUCUUGAAGGAGGCGCCCUUCUCCUCCUGUAACACUGACAUUGACCCAGAGCCCUACAUAACCGCCUGCACCGACACUUUGUGUAAAUAUCCUGC
Long non-coding RNA from Haplochromis burtoni (Burton's mouthbrooder), 1179 nucleotides. RefSeq lists it as uncharacterized. The record is from RefSeq and is a predicted model, not a curated record. The transcript has 3 exons. Lineage: Eukaryota; Metazoa; Chordata; Actinopteri; Cichliformes; Cichlidae.